This 225-nucleotide small RNA is filed under the name Staphylococcus aureus. RNAcentral's name for it is "HMPRFS0000_2964". The record is from RNAcentral. Lineage: Bacteria; Bacillati; Bacillota; Bacilli; Caryophanales; Staphylococcaceae.
AUUAAUGAUACGUUGAAUUAGACCUCUCGGAUUAUGAAUCCCUUCGCGAACAUUUUCAUUAAUCAACCGUUUACCAACAAAUCGGGACAGAUCAACUUGUUUAUCAGCUGCAAUUAUGACACCGUCAGCUUCUUCGAUGUCUUGCGUAGUUAAAACAUUUUCAGCACCAACACCGCCCUGUGUCUCUACUUUAAUAUCCACACCCAUUUCUUUUGCUACCUGCUC